This 63-nucleotide microRNA precursor is filed under the name Petromyzon marinus (sea lamprey). Its description in RNAcentral is "Pma-Mir-26-o1_pre stem-loop". Lineage: Eukaryota; Metazoa; Chordata; Hyperoartia; Petromyzontiformes; Petromyzontidae. The record is from RNAcentral.
UUCAAGUAAUCCAGGAUAGGCUGGCGUCUCAGACCCCGCGGCCUGUCCUUGCUUACUUGGACC